UGAUGAGGAGGAUAGCCAGCAGGAGGAUAACCAGCAUGACCAGGCGCAGGAGGAUAACCACCAUAACCAGGAGCAGGAGGGUAGGCACCAGGUGGAGGUGGGUAUGCACCCGGAGGAUAACCAGGUGCAGGUGGGUAGGCACCAGGUGGUGGGGGAGGGUAAGCUUGUUGUGGUGGGUAUCCAGCUGGUGGAUAAGCCCCAGGACCUGGCGGGUAUCCAGCGGGUGGGUACCCAAAAAAACCUUUGUCUUUGUCUUCCUCACCUCCCAUGUUUUCUCUCAAUCAACAAAAC
This 291-nucleotide long non-coding RNA is filed under the name Brassica rapa (field mustard). RNAcentral's name for it is "long non-coding RNA (BRAP_LNC006616)". The record is from RNAcentral. Lineage: Eukaryota; Viridiplantae; Streptophyta; Magnoliopsida; Brassicales; Brassicaceae.